ACUACCUGCCUCGAAGNAUUGAUAAGUUUGAUCAUGGCUCAGACUGANGCGCUAGCGGCAUGCCUUACACAUGCAAGUCGAACGGUAACAGGUCUUCGGACGCUGACGAGUGGCGAACGGGUGAGUAAUACAUCGGAACGUGCCCAGUCGUGGGGGAUAACUACUCGAAAGAGUAGCUAAUACCGCAUACGAUCUGAGGAUGAAAGCGGGGGACCUUCGGGCCUCGCGCGAUUGGAGCGGCCGAUGGCAGAUUAGGUAGUUGGUGGGAUAAAAGCUUACCAAGCCGACGAUCUGUAGCUGGUCUGAGAGGACGACCAGCCACACUGGGACUGAGACACGGCCCAGACUCCUACGGGAGGCAGCAGUGGGGAAUUUUG
Molecule: ribosomal RNA, 377 nt
Filed under: uncultured bacterium
Lineage: Bacteria
Description: bacterial SSU rRNA
Rfam family: Bacterial small subunit ribosomal RNA
Source: RNAcentral